GGAACUUUGACUCCCAUCAACCUGAACCACCACUGGACCCCAGGGUCCAGUUUCCCUGGGGUCCAGUGAUGGUUCAGGUUGAUGGCAGUCGUGUG
Non-coding RNA from Pelobates cultripes (western spadefoot toad), 95 nucleotides. Lineage: Eukaryota; Metazoa; Chordata; Amphibia; Anura; Pelobatidae. The record is from the annotation of a GenBank genome assembly.